Molecule: ribosomal RNA, 468 nt
Filed under: uncultured bacterium
Lineage: Bacteria
Description: partial 16S ribosomal RNA
Rfam family: Bacterial small subunit ribosomal RNA
Source: RNAcentral
GACGAACGCUGGCGGCGUGCUUAACACAUGCAAGUCGAACGGAAAGGCCCUGCUUUUGUGGGGUGCUCGAGUGGCGAACGGGUGAGUAACACGUGAGUAACCUGCCCUUGACUUUGGGAUAACUUCAGGAAACUGGGGCUAAUACCGGAUAGGAGCUCCUGCUGCAUGGUGGGGGUUGGAAAGUUUCGGCGGUUGGGGAUGGACUCGCGGCUUAUCAGCUUGUUGGUGGGGUAGUGGCUUACCAAGGCUUUGACGGGUGGCCGGCCUGAGAGGGUGACCGGCCACAUUGGGACUGAGGUACUGCCCAGCCUCCUACGGGAGGCAGCAGUGGGGUAUAUUGCACGAUGGGCGGAAGCCUGAUGCAGCAACGCCGCGUGCGGGAUGCCGUCCUUCGGGUUGUAUUCCUCUUUCGCCUGUGACGAAGCGUGAGUGACGGUAAUGGGUAAAGAAGCACCGGCUAACUACUUG